RNAcentral lists this long non-coding RNA (369 nucleotides) under Daucus carota (carrot). RNAcentral describes it as "long non-coding RNA (DCAR_LNC001157)". Lineage: Eukaryota; Viridiplantae; Streptophyta; Magnoliopsida; Apiales; Apiaceae. The record is from RNAcentral.
GGAAGUUCAAAGCAUGAGGCUAUGUCUAAUGAGUGGUUGCAAACUGGGAAUUGUCCAAUGGCCAAGUCAUUCAGAGCAGUGAGCCAUGUGCUGCCACUUGUGGCAAAAGCCCUUCAGCCCCCUGCUGGUAUUAAUAUGAAGUGCCCCCCUGCAAUAGUUGCAGCAAGGGCUGCUAUAUCACGGACUGCCCUAGCCAAAAAUCUCAGGCCACAGCCUCUACCUGCAAAAAUACUUGCAAUUGGCGCCCUGGGCAUGGCUGCAAAUAUUCCUUUGGGUAUAUGGCGAGAACACACAGAAAAAUUCUCACUCUCUUGGUUUGUGGCAGUCCAUGCAGCUGUUCCAUUUAUAGGCAUGCUUAGGAAAUCGGUG